CUGUGUCAUGUUUCAGUGUGAGUCAGGAGAUUAACGCAGUUUCUUUCUUUCCUAGACCUUAUGCCGUCAGAACCAAGACAUCUGUUCUCAUAUUUGAUGUCAAAAUGGCCCUAAGCCUCAUCUCCACAGGACCAGACUUUGUAUCCUACAAAGGUACCACUUACUGUCUACCUGAUAAGUGAUGCAAUAGGCGGCGAGUUGAGCUCUGUAACUGAGCAAGAAAUUGAAUACGCUGCUAUCCGUGAAACUGCUGGCCAGGUAAGAGAAUAUCAUUUGAAUUUUACCUGUAUAUAGUGUUUUUCUCACUAGCAAACAAGAAACCUUUGAGCAUAACUAUGAAGCCAGUCUUUCUCCCUCCUUACGCAACAUAAAUAAUUAAUCUGUAUCAUCAAAAAGCUGGUGGGAAGGGGAGUAAGGAGUAUUUUA
This 426-nucleotide long non-coding RNA is filed under the name Struthio camelus australis. RNAcentral's name for it is "lncRNA (ENSSCUG00000001678.1)". Lineage: Eukaryota; Metazoa; Chordata; Aves; Struthioniformes; Struthionidae. The record is from RNAcentral.